CCCUGAAUGCAAAGCCCUCCCUUCCUGAUUUAUGCCAUUGCCUAUGCACAGCUUCGGCUAGUGUGCCAACUGUAGCCCUUCCUCAAGAAAGCAGAUCUGGCCACGGUUACCCAUGCCUUAGUCACCUCAUGGCUGGAUUACUGCAACGCGCUCUACAUGGGGCUGCCCUUGAAGAAUAUUCGGAAACUUCCUUUGGUGCAGAAUGUAGCUGCCAGGAUUCUCUCUGGAACUGCUCACUCAGAGCAUAUUACACCUAUUCUGAAAGAGAUUCACUGGUUGCCAAUUUGUUUCCAGAUCUAAUUCAAGAAGAAGAAAUGUAAUCAAAAUAAAAGGAGCGAUAUAGUGAUUUGAUGAGGAUUCCCUCCAUCUAUCAUCCAAGUCAUUGAUUAAAAAUGUCAAAAAGUAUCAAACCCAGGGCAGAGCCCAGUGGCACCCCACUCGAAAUCUCCCUCCAGUUUGAUGAGGAGUCAUUGAUGAACACUCUUGAGUAUGGUUUCAAGACAGUUGUAAUCCACCUGACACAUUUUUAAAACUCUAUUUAAAAAUGAAACACAAGUAUGAAUUCAAAAAUAUAAUGUGUUUCUUCUCUGUGAUUAAUGUCUUCUCUCUGUGAUGGAAGCAGGACCUAUUUAUUUAUUUAUUUAUUUAUUUUAUACAUUGCAUACAUUAUGAAGCCGAGCAAGCUGGUUACCCAUAGAUCUUCGGAGUUUUCUAUUGCUUAGUUUUCCAUUCUAAACUUCUGGGUCUGCUUACUGCUGUUGCCCUCCUUGGCAAAUCAGCAUUUUAGAAUGCCUGCCUCUUGGAGUUCUUUAUUUUGCCCUCUUUGAAUUGUCUUUCUGCUAAUGCUUGAGGCAAGCAAGCGUAACAUAAGCCCCCAGGAAUUCAUAACUACCCUGAUGCUUUAGGGCUGGGAAGCAUCUCUCAAGCCAUCUGUUUCCAGUCAUUUUAAAAUGAGUUCUGAAGAGUCAAUUGUUUUCUUCGAGGAAAAAUAAACAGGCAGGCUGCUACCCUCCUGAUUUCCAGCAAUUUUCUGCUGUGAGUAGACGCAGUAGAGGAUUUUAGAAUGCGAGCCUCGUACUUGUCCAAAAAGUUUGGUAAUGUAAUUACCUCAUUUUAACUAACUGCUGCCUUUGGGAGGGAAAAAAGUGUGCAAAGUUUAUACAGAUCAUUGCCUUUUUCUUUUUUUUUUUUAAAAGGAUAAUACAAUACAGUCUUCCUUGAUAUGCCUUAAAUUCUUGUUUUCCUUGAUUAAAGUGUUUAAUAAU
Long non-coding RNA from Hemicordylus capensis (graceful crag lizard), 1265 nucleotides. RefSeq lists it as uncharacterized. Lineage: Eukaryota; Metazoa; Chordata; Lepidosauria; Squamata; Cordylidae. The transcript is spliced from 2 exons. The record is from RefSeq and is a predicted model, not a curated record.